This 612-nucleotide ribosomal RNA is filed under the name uncultured bacterium. RNAcentral's name for it is "bacterial SSU rRNA". The stretch from base 1 to 536 matches the Rfam family "Bacterial small subunit ribosomal RNA", at positions 338 to 873 of the family's 1533-position model. The record is from RNAcentral.
CCUACGGGAGGCAGCAGUGGGGAAUUUUGGACAAUGGACGCAAGUCUGAUCCAGCAAUGCCGCGUGCAGGAUGAAGGCCUUCGGGUCGUAAACUGCUUUUGUACGGAACGAAAAGGUCUGCCCUAAUACGGUGGGCCCAUGACGGUACCGUAAGAAUAAGCACCGGCUAACUACGUGCCAGCAGCCGCGGUAAUACGUAGGGUGCAAGCGUUAAUCGGAAUUACUGGGCGUAAAGCGUGCGCAGGCGGUUAUAUAAGACAGAUGUGAAAUCCCCGGGCUCAACCUGGGACCUGCAUUUGUGACUGUAUAGCUAGAGUACGGUAGAGGGGGAUGGAAUUCCGCGUGUAGCAGUGAAAUGCGUAGAUAUGCGGAGGAACACCGAUGGCGAAGGCAAUCCCCUGGACCUGUACUGACGCUCAUGCACGAAAGCGUGGGGAGCAAACAGGAUUAGAUACCCUGGUAGUCCACGCCCUAAACGAUGUCACUGGUUGUGNUCUUACUNUAUNUAGUACGAGACGACGNGNGAGUGACGCGNGGNGGUAACGGUCGCGAGUUAGUAAGUUANAAGUAGAGUUGNGGCGNGAGAGNGCGAGGCGACGACGAGGGAGGAGG